GGCCUUUCGCGUUGCGCGGGAGGCAGGCGGGAGUGAGGGGAGAGGCUGUCCCUCAGCCCCGCAGUCUCCGGGAACCUGCCUCGACUCCUGCGGGGCGCCCUGCAGCCGCGCUCCUGCAGACCCGGCGGAGGGGCCGCCGCCUCCCAUGCGCCGGAGGUCGUGCGGCUGUCAGUCCUCUCGCCCCCGCCGCACGGAGAGCGCCUUGUCGUGGGGCGACCGGACGGGACGUGCCCCGCGAGGGACGCCGGCGCGGAGCGGCGCGCUGAGGUGGAGUGAGGCGAGGCGAGGCAAGGCCCGGCCGCCCCGUGGAGACAGCGCCCUGAGGAGGGAGCCCCGCGCCAGGACUUGUGUGUGAUUGGCAUUGUGCUGUACUGCAGUGAAGAGGUAUUUUUCACUUCAAGAGACCUUGCAUUAAAGGAUCAUGGUAGACAGUUUAAUAGUUUCUUUGAGACUUCUCAGUUCACUAGCAGUGCUGGGAUUUCAGUUUGUCAUCCCACAGCCUUCAAUUGAACACAGAAAG
RNAcentral lists this long non-coding RNA (520 nucleotides) under Strigops habroptila (Kakapo). RNAcentral's name for it is "lncRNA (ENSSHBG00005020377.1)". Lineage: Eukaryota; Metazoa; Chordata; Aves; Psittaciformes; Psittacidae. The record is from RNAcentral.